UACGUAGGGUGCAAGCGUUAAUCGGAAUUACUGGGCGUAAAGCGUGCGCAGGCGGUUGUGCAAGACCGAUGUGAAAUCCCCGGGCUUAACCUGGGAAUGGCAUUGGUGACUGCACGGCUAGAGUGUGUCAGAGGGGGGUAGAAUUCCACGUGUAGCAGUGAAAUGCGUAGAGAUGUGGAGGAAUACCGAUGGCGAAGGCAGCCCCCUGGGUCGAUACUGACGCUCAUGCACGAAAGCGUGGGGAGCAAACAGG
RNAcentral lists this ribosomal RNA (253 nucleotides) under uncultured bacterium. Its description in RNAcentral is "partial 16S ribosomal RNA". It matches the Rfam family "Bacterial small subunit ribosomal RNA", at positions 524 to 776 of the family's 1533-position model. The record is from RNAcentral.